Molecule: ribosomal RNA, 500 nt
Filed under: uncultured bacterium
Lineage: Bacteria
Description: partial 16S ribosomal RNA
Rfam family: Bacterial small subunit ribosomal RNA
Source: RNAcentral
GACGAACGCUGGCGGCGUGCUUAACACAUGCAAGUCGAACGGGUCUGCCCUGUUUUUUGCGGGGUGGGUCAGUGGCGAACGGGUGAGUAACACGUGAGUAACCUGCCCCUCACUUCUGGAUAACCGCUUGAAAGGGUGGCUAAUACGGGGUGUUCUGGCUGUGCCGCAUGGUGUGGCUGGGAAAGAUUCACUUUUGUGGUGUUUUGGUGGGGGAUGGGCUCGCGGCCUAUCAGCUUGUUGGUGGGGUGAUGGCCUGCCAAGGCUUUGACGGGUAGCCGGCCUGAGAGGGUGGGCGGGCACACUGGGACUGAGGUACGGCCCAGACUCCUGCGGGAGGCAGCAGUGGGGGGUAUUGGACAAUGGGCGGGAGCCUGAUGCAGCGACGUCGCGUGAGGGAUGGAGGCCUUCGGGUUGUGAACCUCUUUCGCCGGUGAAGAAGGUCCUGCUCUUUGUGGUGGGGUUGACGGUAGCCGGGUUAUGAAGCGCCGGCUAACUACGUG